RNAcentral lists this ribosomal RNA (306 nucleotides) under Phareicranaus hermosa. RNAcentral's name for it is "partial 16S ribosomal RNA". Lineage: Eukaryota; Metazoa; Arthropoda; Arachnida; Opiliones; Cranaidae. The record is from RNAcentral.
GCAUAAUCAAUAGUUUUUUAAUUGAAGACUGGGAUGAAAGAUAAAUUCUGAGGAGAAAGUUUUAUUUAAUAAAUUUGAAUUUUAAUUAAAAGUAAAAAUGCUUUUGUUAAAUUUUAGGACGAGAAGACCCUAGAAGCUUAUAAUAAAUUAUAAUAAUUCAAUAGAAUUAAUUAUUCAAUAUUUUUUAUUGGGGCAAUAUUUGAAGAAAAAAAUUUUUAGUUUAAAAUUAGAAAAUUUUAAAAGUUACUCUAGGGAUAACAGGGUAAUUUAAUUUAAGAGUUCUUAUUAAAAAUUAAGUUUGCUACC